UACAGAGGGGGCAAGCGUUAUUCGGAAUUAUUGGGCGUAAAGGGCUCGUAGGCGGCCUGGCAAGUGGAUGGUGAAAUCCCUCGGCUUAACCGAGGAACUGCCGUCCAAACUGCUUGGCUUGAGUCCGGGAGAGGUGAGUGGAAUUCCCAGUGUAGCGGUGAAAUGCGUAGAUAUUGGGAGGAACACCAGUGGCGAAGGCGGCUCACUGGACCGGAACUGACGCUGAUGCGCGAAAGCGUGGGGAGCAAACGGG
RNAcentral lists this ribosomal RNA (253 nucleotides) under uncultured bacterium. RNAcentral's name for it is "partial 16S ribosomal RNA". It matches the Rfam family "Bacterial small subunit ribosomal RNA", at positions 524 to 776 of the family's 1533-position model. The record is from RNAcentral.